UACGUAGGGGGCUAGCGUUGUUCGGAAUUACUGGGCGUAAAGCGCACGCAGGUGGCUGAGUCAGUCGAUUGUGAAAGCCCUGGGCUUAACCUGGGAAUUGCAGUCGAUACUACUCAGCUAGAGUAUGGGAGAGGGUAGUGGAAUUCCCGGUGUAGCGGUGAAAUGCGUAGAUAUCGGGAGGAACAUCAGUGGCGAAGGCGGCUACCUGGCCCAAUACUGACACUCAGGUGCGACAGCGUGGGGAGCAAACAGG
This 253-nucleotide ribosomal RNA is filed under the name uncultured bacterium. Its description in RNAcentral is "partial 16S ribosomal RNA". It matches the Rfam family "Bacterial small subunit ribosomal RNA", at positions 524 to 776 of the family's 1533-position model. The record is from RNAcentral.